RNAcentral lists this ribosomal RNA (296 nucleotides) under uncultured bacterium. RNAcentral describes it as "partial 16S ribosomal RNA". It matches the Rfam family "Bacterial small subunit ribosomal RNA", at positions 333 to 646 of the family's 1533-position model. The record is from RNAcentral.
GCUUUCCUACGGGACGCAGCAGUGGGGGAUAUUGCACAAUGGGGGAAACCCUGAUGCAGCAACGCCGCGUGAGUGAAGAAGGUCUUCGGAUUGUAAAGCUCUGUUCUUGGUGAAGAUAAUGACGGUAGCCAAGGAGAAAGCUCCGGCUAACUACGUGCCAGAAGCCGCGGUAAUACGUAGGGAGCGAGCGUUGUCCGGAUUUACUGGGUGUAAAGGGUGCGCAGGCGGCUCUGCAAGUCAGGCGUGAAAGCUAGGGGCUCAACCCCUAAAUUGCGCUUGAUACUUGGGAGCUUGAG